This 2021-nucleotide ribosomal RNA is filed under the name Triticum aestivum (bread wheat). RNAcentral describes it as "partial small subunit ribosomal RNA". The record is from RNAcentral. Lineage: Eukaryota; Viridiplantae; Streptophyta; Magnoliopsida; Poales; Poaceae.
UACCUAUGACGCGACUUCGUGGUAGUUACGAUGCAACUUCGAAACAGCGGCCGCUCGUCGUGGUACCUACGACUUAACUUACUGUUUAGCUACGACGCAACGUCGAGAGAGAGGCCGUUCGUCGCGGUACAUACGACGCCACUUCGAAGUAGCGGCCGCUCGUCGUGGUAACUACUACGUAACUUCGUGGCAUCUACGAUGCAACUUCGAAGCAGCGGCCGUCCGUUACGGUACCUACGACGCAACUUCGAAUGAGCGGCGAGGUGGUAGCUCUGUGGCCUCUGCCGCGAGAAGUGCGUCGUGCUGUCGCAGAGGAGGUUGAGGCCGAGCUACGAAGUGGUGUCGCCGCGCGCCGUCGUGGGUCACGAAGCGGCGUCGCAACCGUCAGCGCCCAACUUUAAGGUAGUGUCGUGUCUGCCAUCACGCACCCUAAGGUGAUGAGAGGGAGUGAUGUAGGUCAGGUGACGAGAGGGGGCGCAGCUAGGGUAGGAGGAGAGGGGGUGUAGCGGCGGCCGGAGUGGGGGUGUCCGCGGUGUUGGCCGCUGCAGCGGAGAGUGGCGGUGGGGGGAGAGUAGGGGAGGGGAGCACCGUCUAGGUCGUUGUUGGCACCACACCCGCCCGCCGCAGUUGCGCGAAGAGAGCCGGCGCCUCGACGAGGGCGGCCCGGUGGGCCUGGGCAGACAGCGGACGAGCGGAGGGCGCCGCAGAAGAGGCUCGUGUGUCAGCUGCCUCCUGCCUCCGGCCUCAGCCAUGUGCGAACACGACCGCACCGGCGUCGAGGUGUUCCGGUACGAGCUGGGGCGGCCGCGGCUCGGGAAGCGCGCGCGGAUGCGACCGCAGGGGCGGAUGCGGAUGAUGCUGGUCCUGGCCCUCCGCUUGCUCCACUACGAGCUACUACUUGUAGCCGAGCUCCUGUAGGACCAGCCGCUACGAGGAGAAGCGAUCGUAGAGGUUGCGUACAGCCUCCGCUACGUCGUCGCCACUUCCGCGACGAACACGAGCCCACGUACGUGCACGUCUUCCCGUACAAGUAACUGUCACGACGCUACCUACAGAACAACCCAACCGUCCCUUCUCCAGUUCGGUCUCCACUACGUGUAGGAAUGUCAGUACCAGGUUUGGCAUGUGCCGUGGGUAUACGGUACUGGCAGCAGUAGAACGUAGAACAGCCAGUUCGCCUCCAUCACCGAUGACGAGGUGGAGUCUUCGUUUACACUACUAGUUGGUUUUCCUUUUACUCAGGGGACUAGACACAGUACUUCUACUUCGACUAACUGGUUUCUAGGCGGACCCGCGUGGUUACUCCGUUCGACUUUUGUGGAAGAUGAAUGAACGUCCUUUCUUCGCAAGCACGCGUCCCUAGUUUCUACUUGGACUAACUGGUUUAACUAAACAUCAUAUUCUUUGGAAGUCCAUUUGGAAUGGUAUCUGUUGGUGAUUGUUUGAUAACCUACUUGUCCGUUACUAAGUUUUCUUUUGUCGACUGGACACGGAGGGUUAGACGACGUUUGCUUCACAAACACCGUCCCUAGCGACCCCUCAAAAUUGGUAGCGGCUCUUAGUUCCGAACGUCGUGGCGGGCCCCCUGUGCUUCUUAGUUUCGAGCGGCGGGGCGAUUCCUCUUCUAAAAAUUGCUAUACCUUUCAAACUACGCGCCUUUCUUAGUUCGCAGGUAAUCUUUCUAAUAUAGGAUCUAGCGGGGCACGUUCGAUAAUGUUCCUUUCACCACAACAUGUAUACCUAUGAAAUCUAGAAAUCAGCAGGCGAACCGACUAUAAACUAACAACCGACUAAACAACCGACUAACAUAGGACUAAUCUCCUUUCACAGCUUAUCCUUUUAGCCAACCCCUCCGACCGAGCGAUCUUUUUGGCCACCCGCUAUGGGCGCUACCAAUUGUAUUUUUAGCCACCCCUCCCCUUUGCUUUGAGGAGGGAGGCCUCAUCUCUAUCGGAAACCUCAUUAAAUUUAAAUACUGUUAUAUUAAUAGUAUAAACUUUAAAGGACUCAAUACCGGAAUG